UACGUAGGGGGCAAGCGUUAUCCGGAUUUAUUGGGCGUAAAGGGAACGCAGGCGGUCUUUUAAGUCUGAUGUGAAAGCCUUCGGCUAAACCGGAGUAGUGCAUUGGAAACUGGGAGACUUGAGUGCAGAAGAGGAGAGUGGAACUCCAUGUGUAGCGGUGAAAUGCGUAGAUAUAUGGAAGAACACCAGUGGCGAAAGCGGCUCUCUGGUCUGUAACUGACGCUGAGGUUCGAAAGCGUGGGUAGCAAACAGG
This 253-nucleotide ribosomal RNA is filed under the name uncultured bacterium. Its description in RNAcentral is "partial 16S ribosomal RNA". It matches the Rfam family "Bacterial small subunit ribosomal RNA", at positions 524 to 776 of the family's 1533-position model. The record is from RNAcentral.